RNAcentral lists this long non-coding RNA (578 nucleotides) under Homo sapiens (human). RNAcentral's name for it is "HSALNT0361083". The record is from RNAcentral. Lineage: Eukaryota; Metazoa; Chordata; Mammalia; Primates; Hominidae.
AAGAAACUUGUCCUCCCCUCUCCUGGUGGCCAUGGUGGAGAUCAGCAGCAGCUUCCCCACCCAGGACAAGGCCUAGUUUUUUGUAUACCAAUUAUACUUCAAUGAGGCUGAAAAAAAAAAAAGUAAAGUUGCACAGGGCUGUGCUGGAGCAGGACACUCUGCAGUCAUGUAAGAAUGGUGGAAGAAGAUAGAGGGCAAUAAAAGAAGAUGGGCAAUAAAAGAGGUGUCAGGCCUCUGAGCCGAAGCUAAGCCAUCAUAUCCCCUGUGACCUGCACAAACACAUCCAGAUGGCCGGUUCCUGCCUUAACUGAUGACAUUGUCUUGUGAAAUUCCUUCUCCUGGCUCAUCCUGGCUCAAAAGCUCCCCUACUGAGCACCUUGUGACCCCCACUCUGCCUGCCAGAGAACAACCCCCCUUUGACUGUAAUUUUCCUUUACCUACCCAAAUCCUAUAAAACGGCCCCACCCUUAUCUCCCUUCGCUGACUCUCUUUUCGGACUCAGUCCACCUGCACCCAGGUGAUUAAAAGCUUUAUUGCUCACACAAAGCCUGUUUGGUGGUGUCUUCACACGGACGCGC